RNAcentral lists this ribosomal RNA (497 nucleotides) under uncultured bacterium. RNAcentral describes it as "partial 16S ribosomal RNA". It matches the Rfam family "Bacterial small subunit ribosomal RNA", at positions 28 to 507 of the family's 1533-position model. The record is from RNAcentral.
GAUGAACGCUGGCGGCGUGCCUAAUACAUGCAAGUCGAGCGAACAGACGAGGAGCUUGCUCCUCUGACGUUAGCGGCGGACGGGUGAGUAACACGUGGAUAACCUACCUAUAAGACUGGGAUAACUUCGGGAAACCGGAGCUAAUACCGGAUAAUAUAUUGAACCGCAUGGUUCAAUAGUGAAAGACGGUUUUGCUGUCACUUAUAGAUGGAUCCGCGCCGCAUUAGCUAGUUGGUAAGGUAACGGCUUACCAAGGCAACGAUGCGUAGCCGACCUGAGAGGGUGAUCGGCCACACUGGAACUGAGACACGGUCCAGACUCCUACGGGAGGCAGCAGUAGGGAAUCUUCCGCAAUAGGCGAAAGCCUGACGGAGCAACGCCGCGUGAGUGAUGAAGGUCUUCGGAUCGUAAAACUCUGUUAUUAGGGAAGAACAAAUGUGUAAGUAACUGUGCACGUCUUGACGGUACCUAAUCAGAAAGCCACGGCUAACUACGUG